AGAAGAAAAAUGGAGGCUCUCUUCGCCAAUCCAUCUUUCUCCUGUCUCAAACUCUCAUCCAAAUUCUGUUAGUAGUGCCGCUUUCUCUCUCCUCCCAAAUUCUCUACUACCGAACUUCUCAUCAUCACUCUUUCAACAUCUCAUUCUCAAUUGUCGCCUCCUCAAUUCCAAGACUACGAUGAAGACGAAUCCUACGGCGAGGUCAACAAAAAAAGGCAAGAGGAUUGAGAUCCGUUUCCAUCGUACCAUCUUGAUUUAGGUCGAGAGGAACAUGGGAAACAGGGGAGCUAGCUUGAUCUGUGUUUAGCUACUUAAUCUUUAUGAGGAUAUGAUGGAGAGAAUGAAGGUUGGAUAGUAUCAAGGGUUUAUUGGCAGGGUAAAUGUUAUCAUUCCUUGAUAUCAUUCAUCCCAAAUUGAAAUCCUAACUCUUUCCCAAAUUAAUUACAUAGAAAUAUGAGGAAGAAGAUCAUAGAUCUAGG
This 479-nucleotide long non-coding RNA is filed under the name Panax ginseng (ginseng). RNAcentral's name for it is "long non-coding RNA (PGIN_LNC001178)". Lineage: Eukaryota; Viridiplantae; Streptophyta; Magnoliopsida; Apiales; Araliaceae. The record is from RNAcentral.